UCUGUCACAAUCUUGCGAGGAGGGGAGAGAGAAGAAGGGGUGAGAGGCAGAAACCCUGCCGCGCUCGCCGCCUCUUUUGUCUGCUCCGGGACUCGGACAAAAGGGGGAACUCUGAUGAACUCUCCCUCCUCCCCUCGCCCCGGACGCCCGGGUCUCUCCCGCUCGCAACUUUGCCGCGGCCACUUUCUCUGCUGUCAGGCCGCAGGAAAGGGUGCGAGCGCUUCGCGGGCGGCAACGAGGGAAUCGGGUCUCUUCCAAGUGCGCCGGAGUGGGCGAGAAGGUGUAAUUACUGUCAGCCACUGAGGACAUCACGCAGUUGCUGGAGUACUUCCUAGUGCUGAACUUCAUCCUGCAUUGUUUUUACUGGAUCUAUCAGCAAACGAUACGGAAAGUGCCCGUAUGACGUCAAAUCACCCCUGGGUGGAAGUUCCUCAAGGUUCUUCCUUUGGAGUUACUUAGCAGUUCAGUAGUUGGGAUUUUUUUGAAGAUGCCUUUCCUAUGUGGAUUAUUACAAUGUGAUGACCGCGAGCUCGCCACCUUCCAGAAGACUAUUUUGAUGUCUGGAAACUCAUGCCCACCUCUGUCUGACCUGGGGUCCAAAUUAACUUUGCUCACAGUCGUACUUGGAGAGUUACAGACCACUGGGAUGUCCUCAGGUGAAAUGUCAUGUGUGAAUCAUGGUGCUACGAUGAGAGUUGGUGAUUUAUGGCUUUGGAGGGCAUGCGUGUGUAUGAUUAAGGGAUGCCUUUCGUCAAGACCACCCGUCAAAACAGGAAGAUAA
Molecule: long non-coding RNA, 781 nt
Filed under: Oryctolagus cuniculus (rabbit)
Lineage: Eukaryota; Metazoa; Chordata; Mammalia; Lagomorpha; Leporidae
Description: lncRNA (ENSOCUG00000033479.1)
Source: RNAcentral